This 440-nucleotide ribosomal RNA is filed under the name uncultured bacterium. RNAcentral's name for it is "partial 16S ribosomal RNA". It matches the Rfam family "Bacterial small subunit ribosomal RNA", at positions 356 to 787 of the family's 1533-position model. The record is from RNAcentral.
GGGGAAUAUUGCACAAUGGGCGCAAGCCUGAUGCAGCCAUGCCGCGUGUGUGAAGAAGGCCUUCGGGUUGUAAAGCACUUUCAGCGAGGAGGAAGGGUAGUGUGUUAAUAGCACAUUGCAUUGACGUUACUCGCAGAAGAAGCACCGGCUAACUCCGUGCCAGCAGCCGCGGUAAUACGGAGGGUGCAAGCGUUAAUCGGAAUUACUGGGCGUAAAGCGCACGCAGGCGGUUUGUUAAGUCAGAUGUGAAAUCCCCGCGCUUAACGUGGGAACUGCAUUUGAAACUGGCAAGCUAGAGUCUUGUAGAGGGGGGUAGAAUUCCAGGUGUAGCGGUGAAAUGCGUAGAGAUCUGGAGGAAUACCGGUGGCGAAGGCGGCCCCCCUGGACAAAGACUGACGCUCAGGUGCGAAAGCGUGGGGAGCAAACAGGAUUAGAUACCC